UCGGGCCGCCUGGUCGCACGCCAUUCGUGUCAGACGUGAGGCCUGGGCGGCGGCGGGGAGGUUGGCGCGGGGCCGCGGGGCGGUCACCGGCUCCGUUCCCCGGGUUUGGGGGGGUGCCUGCGUUUCCCACGGCUUGCUCGCCGGGCUCGCCGCGCACGCGCAGGCCCGCCCCUGGAGCCGGUGCGGGUCGGAGGGCGGUGGCGUCUCCCGGGGCAGCCGGCUUCCGGGGCGGGGGCUCGCAGCGUCGGUGGAAGGGAUGGACGGCGGCGAGCUCGGCCCGCCCGCCUGUGGCACCGCGUCGUGUCCACGCUAGCACAGCAGGAGGCUGCUGCCUCCUCGGUGCUGGGAUAACCUCGUCACACCGGUCUGACUCUUCCUUUGGUGGUGCUUGUUCUACUCUUGUCUCACCAAAUUUGGAGGGGGAAGGAAGGCGUCCAUGCCCUCUUUACCCUUCCUGCACUCACUUCCCCUAGCCUGCUUUCUGUGCUGAUCCACACAGCGGAACCUACAAUGCUGAAAGGCAUCACUCCGUAGAUGUCCUGCAGUCUCUCAGGCACAGCCCAGACUCCUCCACGGCGUGGACAUCCUGGAACAUUCUUUGGCAUCUUUCCUCAGUAUCCUUCUGUUAUGGUCUUUCCUCUUAAUUGCUGUCACAGGCUCUACAUUCUCUAAGCCUGGGCCAUGCUGCAUUCCAGGAUGCCCUGCACUCUUCCUGCCUCUUCCUCCUCUAGGAGUGAUGUUCUGAAACUGAUUUUCCUCCUCUCUGCUGUACCGCUUGCUGUAAUUCUAGGACUGCCUAUCAACCCUGUGUUGACACCUCCACCUUGGAAUCCCCCAGACUCCCACCAGACUGAACUGACCGUCUUUGCCCCCCUCUUCCCUGUACUCCCACGUGCCUGUCCCCAAAGCCUGCACUUUCUCCUAACUUCUGGGACUUGGCUGCUGGAACUGCUAUCCAUCCUGAGUACCAAACGUGAAACCCAGACAUGUCCCUGAUGCCACUUUUUCCUUUCUCUACACCCAGCCAGUCUGAGCAGGAGGAUUCAGCCCUCUAAGAUUUAGGGUGCUGGAGCCUGGGAAGAUGGCUCAGGGGUCAGAGUGCAUUGGUCACCCAUGUUCGGUGACUCUCAGUUGUCCUUGACUACAGCCCCCCCCAACCUUGGGAACCUCAAGCACCUCACUCGGGUAGAGCGCAUCCCACACCUAGACGCGUAUACACACAAUUAAAGAUAAAAUGUAUCAAACAUCAUGUAAGAAUCAUCUGUGGCAGAAAUGAGACCGGCUCUCCUUCCGUAGAACUGUGUUCUGACCAGGACUGUAUGUGAGCAGUGACGCCAACCAUCUUUGCACAGGAAGGUGAAUGUUAGGCUUGACACAGUAGCUUUAGCAAUGGCAUUUUAAAUAAAUGGAGUUUGUCACUUAAAAGCGGGCAUGGGCUCAUUGCCGGGCUUCAGACUCCCUUCAUUUUUCAGUCAUCUUUUGGACCCUAGUUAGCAGGCUCUUGUUAAGUAGCUGGGGCCUGUCUUAAUCUCAGACUAGCUUAAGUAGACCUUACACGUGUGAUCCUCCUGCCUCAGCCUCCUGACUUCAACUGGCCUGUACCACAUGGAUUGCACUCUCAAUUCUCUGGGAUUGGUAGUGGCCAGGUGGGCAAGAAAGGGAAAUGCAGUGUUUUUCAAGCCGAAGUUCCCUUACUUCUUUUAGUUCACAAACAUUUAAAGUUGGGGUUAACAGCACGUGCACACUUACUCCAUCUAAUUUUCCUUUGGGUGUGGGGGUGCAAUUUUAUGGCCUUCUUGGGAGGCGGAGUCAGGGAAACGGCGCGUUCAAGGCCUCCCUGGGUGCUGAGACACCAUUUCAAGGUCGAAAAACGUGUGCCAGUGAGACCACCAAAACCUGACACCCUGACUUAGAUCCCAAACCAAUGUAAAGGUGGGAGGAGAGAAAUGACCUCCUAGCGUUGUCCCCUGACCCUCACACGUGUGUUUGGCAUGUGUACCCAUGCACAUUACGUAUGCACAAUAUACACACUAGUGACAAAGUUUUUAAAACUAAAAUACAGUCGGGAGGGUGGACUGGAGAAAUAGUUCAGCUACAGAGCUGUUGACUAGCGACCCACAAAGCUCUACAUUCAACACUCAGUACCGUAAAAAUGCCUAUAAUUUGACACCGCAUAUAUCUGGUCAUUAUUUUUCCCAGUAGAUGGCAAGUAGGCAGAGUUUUCUCCUUUAAUAUUCAGUUGUAGAUGGGUUAUCUGUUGACAUUUUACAUGAUAAAGCUUGUAACUUAAUAAACAUAACUGAAAGGAA
Long non-coding RNA from Mesocricetus auratus (golden hamster), 2309 nucleotides. RefSeq lists it as uncharacterized. The record is from RefSeq and is a predicted model, not a curated record. Lineage: Eukaryota; Metazoa; Chordata; Mammalia; Rodentia; Cricetidae. The transcript has 2 exons.